RNAcentral lists this long non-coding RNA (833 nucleotides) under Homo sapiens (human). RNAcentral's name for it is "HSALNT0401153". Lineage: Eukaryota; Metazoa; Chordata; Mammalia; Primates; Hominidae. The record is from RNAcentral.
GUAGAAGGGAAAACCAUCAGCAGCUCCAGCCGCUGUUCUAGGAAAUGGUUAUUCAGUUACCAAUAACAACAGUUGCUAUGGAGACAGGCGGUCCAGCCCGCCAGCCUGGAAUUGCUCUUAGGCCAGGGCCAGAUUAGCCACCUCCACACCCUUUCCAAACCAAGUGGCAGCCUGAGCCCCAGUUCUCCUUCAAUUACCUGAUCAAGGAAUCUCAACUCCCAGUGUGAGUUUUUCCCACCACAGCGUGAAUCCAGGUUGUUCCUGCAAUGUUAUGCAAUGUGAGUGGAGCUUUCUAACAAUAAGAGCACCAUCUAUGGUCUGGCUGUCUGCUGAGCAGCCUCAUCUGUCAAAGGAGCAGAAAAUUCCAAAGCAUGAUCCUAUGAAUCAAACCUGACACCCACAGACACAGGAGCUCCCUCCUCCCCAACCGCCAAACCCUCAAGCUUCCACAGAGAUCUGAGCCUCUCUGGGUUGAGGAAGAGAGGGACUGUUCUCCCGUAUUAAUCAGAUCCCAUUAAUUUUUCAAAGUAGACAACAGCCCACUUACUCAUCUGCUGUGGAGCCUCAUCCAUAAUUGAUCCUGAACUGCACUUACCCUAACAGACCGCGCAGAUGCCGGCUGCACGUAGAGCUCUGGGAGGGUUGUCUACUGAUGAGCCUACUCCAAGUAGUGAAGGCACUCACAGCCAUGGCACGUGGUAACUUCAAUGGGCCUGACACUUUUCCUUCCAUCAAAAACAACAAGGAAGAGGAAAGGAAUGACUCCCCAGAUGCUCUGAGUGGUUGUUCUGAGGUCAUUUCUAUGUACAAGUCAGCUUGAGGGGAAUUAAAAA